This 2891-nucleotide ribosomal RNA is filed under the name human gut metagenome. Its description in RNAcentral is "bacterial LSU rRNA". It matches the Rfam family "Bacterial large subunit ribosomal RNA". The record is from RNAcentral.
UUAAGUGACUAAGCGUACACGGUGGAUGCCUGGGCAGUCAGAGGCGAUGAAGGACGUACUAACUUGCGAUAAGCGCAGAUAAGGCAGUAAGAGCCGUUUGAGUCUGCGAUUUCCGAAUGGGGAAACCCAACUGCAUAAGCAGUUACUGUUAACUGAAUACAUAGGUUAACAGAGCAAACCGGGGGAACUGAAACAUCUAAGUACCCCGAGGAGAAGAAAUCAACCGAGAUUCCGGUAGUAGCGGCGAGCGAACCUGGAUUAGCCCUUAAGCACUCGGUGAAGUAGGUGAACAAGCUGGAAAGCUUGGCGAUACAGGGUGAUAGCCCCGUAACCGACGCUUCAUCGAGCGUGAAAUCGAGUAGGGCGGGACACGUGAUAUCCUGUCUGAAUAUGGGGGGACCAUCCUCCAAGGCUAAAUACUCCUGACUGACCGAUAGUGAACCAGUACCGUGAGGGAAAGGCGAAAAGAACCCCGGCGAGGGGAGUGAAAAAGAACCUGAAACCGUGUACGUACAAGCAGUGGGAGCACGCUUAGGCGUGUGACUGCGUACCUUUUGUAUAAUGGGUCAGCGACUUAUAUUCUGUAGCAAGGUUAACCGAAUAGGGGAGCCGAAGGGAAACCGAGUCUUAACUGGGCGUUAAGUUGCAGGGUAUAGACCCGAAACCCGGUGAUCUAGCCAUGGGCAGGUUGAAGGUUGGGUAACACUAACUGGAGGACCGAACCGACUAAUGUUGAAAAAUUAGCGGAUGACUUGUGGCUGGGGGUGAAAGGCCAAUCAAACCGGGAGAUAGCUGGUUCUCCCCGAAAGCUAUUUAGGUAGCGCCUCGUGAAUUCAUCUCCGGGGGUAGAGCACUGUUUCGGCAAGGGGGUCAUCCCGACUUACCAACCCGAUGCAAACUGCGAAUACCGGAGAAUGUUAUCACGGGAGACACACGGCGGGUGCUAACGUCCGUCGUGAAGAGGGAAACAACCCAGACCGCCAGCUAAGGUCCCAAAGUCAUGGUUAAGUGGGAAACGAUGUGGGAAGGCCCAGACAGCCAGGAUGUUGGCUUAGAAGCAGCCAUCAUUUAAAGAAAGCGUAAUAGCUCACUGGUCGAGUCGGCCUGCGCGGAAGAUGUAACGGGGCUAAACCAUGCACCGAAGCUGCGGCAGCGACGCUGAUGCGUUGUUGGGUAGGGGAGCGUUCUGUAAGCCUGUGAAGGUGUGCUGUGAGGCAUGCUGGAGGUAUCAGAAGUGCGAAUGCUGACAUAAGUAACGAUAAAGCGGGUGAAAAGCCCGCUCGCCGGAAGACCAAGGGUUCCUGUCCAACGUUAAUCGGGGCAGGGUGAGUCGACCCCUAAGGCGAGGCCGAAAGGCGUAGUCGAUGGGAAACAGGUUAAUAUUCCUGUACUUGGUGUUACUGCGAAGGGGGGACGGAGAAGGCUAUGUUGGCCGGGCGACGGUUGUCCCGGUUUAAGCGUGUAGGCUGGUUUUCCAGGCAAAUCCGGAAAAUCAAGGCUGAGGCGUGAUGACGAGGCACUACGGUGCUGAAGCAACAAAUGCCCUGCUUCCAGGAAAAGCCUCUAAGCAUCAGGUAACAUCAAAUCGUACCCCAAACCGACACAGGUGGUCAGGUAGAGAAUACCAAGGCGCUUGAGAGAACUCGGGUGAAGGAACUAGGCAAAAUGGUGCCGUAACUUCGGGAGAAGGCACGCUGAUAUGUAGGUGAAGUCCCUUGCGGAUGGAGCUGAAAUCAGUCGAAGAUACCAGCUGGCUGCAACUGUUUAUUAAAAACACAGCACUGUGCAAACACGAAAGUGGACGUAUACGGUGUGACGCCUGCCCGGUGCCGGAAGGUUAAUUGAUGGGGUUAGCGCAAGCGAAGCUCUUGAUCGAAGCCCCGGUAAACGGCGGCCGUAACUAUAACGGUCCUAAGGUAGCGAAAUUCCUUGUCGGGUAAGUUCCGACCUGCACGAAUGGCGUAAUGAUGGCCAGGCUGUCUCCACCCGAGACUCAGUGAAAUUGAACUCGCUGUGAAGAUGCAGUGUACCCGCGGCAAGACGGAAAGACCCCGUGAACCUUUACUAUAGCUUGACACUGAACAUUGAGCCUUGAUGUGUAGGAUAGGUGGGAGGCUUUGAAGUGUGGACGCCAGUCUGCAUGGAGCCGACCUUGAAAUACCACCCUUUAAUGUUUGAUGUUCUAACGUUGACCCGUAAUCCGGGUUGCGGACAGUGUCUGGUGGGUAGUUUGACUGGGGCGGUCUCCUCCUAAAGAGUAACGGAGGAGCACGAAGGUUGGCUAAUCCUGGUCGGACAUCAGGAGGUUAGUGCAAUGGCAUAAGCCAGCUUGACUGCGAGCGUGACGGCGCGAGCAGGUGCGAAAGCAGGUCAUAGUGAUCCGGUGGUUCUGAAUGGAAGGGCCAUCGCUCAACGGAUAAAAGGUACUCCGGGGAUAACAGGCUGAUACCGCCCAAGAGUUCAUAUCGACGGCGGUGUUUGGCACCUCGAUGUCGGCUCAUCACAUCCUGGGGCUGAAGUAGGUCCCAAGGGUAUGGCUGUUCGCCAUUUAAAGUGGUACGCGAGCUGGGUUUAGAACGUCGUGAGACAGUUCGGUCCCUAUCUGCCGUGGGCGUUGGAAGAUUGAAGGGGGCUGCUCCUAGUACGAGAGGACCGGAGUGGACGAACCUCUGGUGUUCGGGUUGUGUCGCCAGACGCAUUGCCCGGUAGCUAAGUUCGGAAUUGAUAAGCGCUGAAAGCAUCUAAGCGCGAAGCGAGCCCUGAGAUGAGUCUUCCCUGACAGUUUAACUGUCCUAAAGGGUUGUUCGAGACUAGAACGUUGAUAGGCAGGGUGUGUAAGCGUUGUGAGGCGUUGAGCUAACCUGUACUAAUUGCCCGUGAGGCUUAACCAU